RNAcentral lists this ribosomal RNA (676 nucleotides) under uncultured Methanoculleus sp. RNAcentral's name for it is "bacterial SSU rRNA". It matches the Rfam family "Archaeal small subunit ribosomal RNA", at positions 88 to 766 of the family's 1478-position model. The record is from RNAcentral. Lineage: Archaea; Methanobacteriati; Methanobacteriota; Methanomicrobia; Methanomicrobiales; Methanomicrobiaceae.
GCUCAGUAACACGUGGAUAACCUGCCCUAGGGAAGGGGAUAACCCCGGGAAACUGGGGAUAAUACCCUAUAGGUUWCAGAUGCUGGAAUGCUCUGUAACCCAAAGUUCCGGCGCCCUAGGAUGGAUCUGCGGCCGAUUAGGUUGUUGUUGGGGUAAUGGCCCAACAAGCCAGUAAUCGGUACGGGUUGUGGGAGCAAGAGCCCGGAGUUGGAUUCUGAGACACGAAUCCAGGCCCUACGGGGCGCAGCAGGCGCGAAAACUUUACAAUGCGGGCAACCGUGAUAAGGGAACCUCGAGUGCCUGUAAAUGCAGGCUGUUUAGGUGUUUAAAACGCACCUGGAGAAAGGGCCGGGCAAGACCGGUGCCAGCCGCCGCGGUAAUACCGGCGGCUCGAGUGGUGGCCACUUUUAUUGGGCUUAAAGCGUUCGUAGCUGGGUUGUUAAGUCUCUUGGGAAAUCUGGCGGCUUAACCGUCAGGCGUCUAAGGGAUACUGGCAAUCUUGGAACCGGGAGAGGUGAGGGGUACUUCGGGGGUAGGAGUGAAAUCCUGUAAUCCUCGAGGGACCACCUGUGGCGAAGGCGCCUCACCAGAACGGCUUCGACAGUGAGGGACGAAAGCUGGGGGAGCAAACCGGAUUAGAAWRASGSCGGGUAGUCCCAGCCGUAAACUAUGCGCG